RNAcentral lists this ribosomal RNA (775 nucleotides) under uncultured Neocallimastigales. Its description in RNAcentral is "partial large subunit ribosomal RNA". It matches the Rfam family "Eukaryotic large subunit ribosomal RNA", at positions 24 to 616 of the family's 3401-position model. Lineage: Eukaryota; Fungi; Neocallimastigomycota; Neocallimastigomycetes; Neocallimastigales. The record is from RNAcentral.
AUAUGUGAUCGUCUCUCGCAUAUCAAUAAGCGGAGGAAAAGAAACUAACAAGGAUUCCCCUAGUAACGGCGAGUGAAGCGGGAAGAGCUCAAAUUUGAAAUCUUAAAGGGUUUCCCUUUACGAAUUGUAGUUUAAAGAAGUGUUUUCUGUUGAGGUUUUGGUAAAAGUUCUUUGGAAUAGGACAUCAUAGAGGGUGAGAAUCCCGUAUUUGACCUUUACUUUCAACUUUGUGAUACACUUUCAAAGAGUCGGAUUGUCUGGGAAUGCAGUCCAAAAUGGGUGGUAAAUUUCAUCUAAAGCUAAAUAUUGGCGAGAGACCGAUAGCGAACAAGUACCGUGAGGGAAAGAUGAAAAGAACUUUGAAAAGAGAGUUAAACAGUACGUGAAAUUGUCAAAAGGGAAGCGUUUGACACCAGUGUUGUUUUUCUGAAAAUCAAUUAAAGAACUGUUUAUGCUAAGCUGUUUAGACUUUAUCAGCUAUCUGUUUAGUUUUGAGCUUUUCUUUAAUGCACUUUUCAGUUAACAAGUCAACAUCAAUUUCUUUUGCUGUAAAAAAGCUUGAGGAAGGUGGCUUGAGAUUCGUCUUAAGUGUUUAUAGCCUCUUGCCUAUGCAGUCGGAGAGACUGAGGUCUGCAGCGUAGAUCCUUCGGGGCUAAAUGCAUUUGUGCUAAGUUAUAGCAUUUUAUAGACAACUUGUUGACUAUGAUUUGUCUUGUAGCUUACUCGCUUAUGUUAUUUUACCUACGCUUAGGAUGUUGAGCGCAUGUCUCUCUCU